AGUCUUGGCUGGUCUUGCCUUUCCUUCCUGUUCCCACUGCCGCCAUGUUGGUUCAGUCUCCUGUCACUCACAACAAGAUGAACAGCAAUGUUCUCUUCUCUGUCUCCUUGAUGGAACAGAUGCCUUCCUCGUUUGGACUUGAGUCAGUCCCGGCAAAUGUUUAAGUGGCCUGGAGAGCUAAGAGAGUGCUAGAAGGGAGACUGCUGUCCCCACAAUGGCUGCAGCCCCAUUCCUUUUUCCAAGCUGCCUGGGUGAACAUUCCAGGAUCCUGACAUUCUGUGGAAAUUGAUGAGUGCUUGCUCAAAGGUCGAUGAUGUGCUACAGAUGGCAUCACCUGUUAGAGACAGAGCUUUCUCAAAAGGAGCUUUGAUUUCCUUUACUUCCCGAACUGCUAUUUCACAGUCUCUCAGUAGAUGUCAGCAGCACAGCAAACAUCUCGGUGCCCAUCAUGGAAGGAGGUUGGUUCAAAAACUUUUCCAAUUAAAG
RNAcentral lists this small RNA (486 nucleotides) under Pan troglodytes (chimpanzee). RNAcentral describes it as "processed transcript". Lineage: Eukaryota; Metazoa; Chordata; Mammalia; Primates; Hominidae. The record is from RNAcentral.